GACGAACGCUGGCGGCGUGCUUAACACAUGCAAGUCGAGCGGAAAGGCCUGCUUUCCCUUGUGGAUUGCGGGUACUCGAGUGGCGAACGGGUGAGUAACACGUGAGUGAUCUGCCCCCAACUUGGGUAUAAGCCUGGGAAACUGGGUCUAAUUCCCGAUAGGACUGCAGGGUGGUGCCUGUGGUGGAAAACGAUUUUCUAGUGGUUGGGGAUGAGCUCGCGGCCUAUCAGCUUGUUGGUGGGGUAAUGGCCUACCAAGGCGGCGACGGGUAGCCGGCCUGGGAGGGGGGACGGCCACAUUGGGACUGAGAUACGGCCCAGACUCCUACGGGAGGCAGCAGUGGGGAAUAUUGCACAAUGGGCGGAAGCCUGAUGCAGCGACGCCGCGUGGGGGAUGACGGCCUUCGGGUUGUAAACUCCUUUCGACCGCGAGGAAGCCACCUGGUUGGAAGGGUGGUGACGGUAGUGGUAGAAGAAGCACCGGCUAACUACGUG
Molecule: ribosomal RNA, 494 nt
Filed under: uncultured bacterium
Lineage: Bacteria
Description: partial 16S ribosomal RNA
Rfam family: Bacterial small subunit ribosomal RNA
Source: RNAcentral